UUGCACGCUGGCGGCAUGCUUUACCCAUGCCGGUCGAACGGUAACAGGCCUUCGGGUGCUGACGAGUGGCGACCGGGUGAGUAAUGCAUCGGAACGUACCCAGAGGUGGGGGAUAACGCAGCGAAAGCUGUGCUAAUACCGCAUGUGAUCUGAGGAUGAAAGCGGGGGACCGAGCAGCAAUGUUUGGCCUCGCGCCUUUGGAGCGGCCGAUGUCGGAUUAGCUAGUUGGUGGGGUAAAGGCCUACCAAGGCGACGAUCCGUAGCUGGUCUGAGAGGACGACCAGCCACACUGGGACUGAGACACGGCCCAGACUCCUACGGGAGGCAGCAGUGGGGAAUUUUGGACAAUGGGCGCAAGCCUGAUCCAGCAAUGCCGCGUGCGGGAAGAAGGCCUUCGGGUUGUAAACCGCUUUUGGCAGGAACGAAACGGUGUCCGCUAAUACCGGGCGCUAAUGACGGUACCUGCAGAAUAAGCACCGGCUAACUACGUG
RNAcentral lists this ribosomal RNA (491 nucleotides) under uncultured bacterium. RNAcentral describes it as "partial 16S ribosomal RNA". It matches the Rfam family "Bacterial small subunit ribosomal RNA", at positions 29 to 507 of the family's 1533-position model. The record is from RNAcentral.